Molecule: long non-coding RNA, 504 nt
Organism: Manduca sexta (tobacco hornworm)
Lineage: Eukaryota; Metazoa; Arthropoda; Insecta; Lepidoptera; Sphingidae
Exons: 3
Source: RefSeq, a predicted model, not a curated record
ACGUAAACAUGUAAGUUGUCAGUUGUGAGCCAAAUUCCACGGUGGCGGGUUACUACACGGGUCCGUAACAUACUUACCACCAAAAUAGUUAAAUGGAACUAUUGUAUUACUACAAAUUAUGUAGUUGUGUAAUAAAAUAAUUAAUAUUAGUGUUUGUGGCAAAGUUUAAGUAGUUUAAGUGAUGUAAAGUUCGACUAACGGUAUUGUGCCAGUGCGUUCUGCGCUUUGUGGGUUUGGGUUACACAGACAAGACAGCCACCCGACUCCGUCUGUACUUCUGGACCAUGAGAUUUGUGAUUUGACACAGCCUUACGAACGAAAACCAAAUAUGGAGACGCGGUGGAGCUACGUUAUAUUAUGGACAGUUCUCUGCUUUCAGUCAGGGUCCUCGAACAGGCUGCCGGUGUUCACACACGACAUGAACAACCUGGCGUUGUCAGAGAGAGCACUCCAGUGGGCACAGUUGUUUAUACACUGCAAGGGACGGACCCUGAUGGAUUACCU